This 454-nucleotide ribosomal RNA is filed under the name uncultured bacterium. RNAcentral describes it as "partial 16S ribosomal RNA". It matches the Rfam family "Bacterial small subunit ribosomal RNA", at positions 28 to 507 of the family's 1533-position model. The record is from RNAcentral.
GAUGAACGCUGACAGAAUGCUUAACACAUGCAAGUCAACUUGAACUUCGGUUUGGGUGGCGGACGGGUGAGUAACGCGUAAAGAACUUGCCUCACAGCUAGGGACAACAUUUGGAAACGAAUGCUAAUACCUGAUAUUAUGAUUUUAGGGCAUCCUAGAAUUAUGAAAGCUAUAUGCGCUGUGAGAGAGCUUUGCGUCCCAUUAGCUAGUUGGAGAGGUAACGGCUCACCAAGGCGAUGAUGGGUAGCCGGCCUGAGAGGGUGAACGGCCACAAGGGGACUGAGACACGGCCCUUACUCAUACGGGAGGCAGCAGUGGGGAAUAUUGGACAAGGGACCAAGAGUCUGAUCCAGCAAUUCUGUGUGCACGAUGAAGUUUUUCGGAAUGUAAAGUGCUUUCAGUUGGGAAGAAAAAAAUGACGGUACCAACAGAAGAAGUGACGGCUAAAUACGUG